CCCUCUGGAAUGGUGAGACUCAAAUAACCCCUCCCACUUUCUCUAAGUUGCCUUGGUCAUGAUGUUUGAUCCCAGCGAUACAAAGAUAACUGAUACCUAUGAGCAUCCUGCAGCUGUCCCUUCAGAUGGCAAUGUAGCAGGGGACCGCCUGCAGGAAGAGAGCGUGUCUGUGUGUACAAAGUGAUGUCCUGCUUUGUCUGUUUCUGUGAGCCUAAGCCCUGGAUCCUGCCCCACAGUUGGCAGCAUUCAGCUUUGGAGCUUGAAAGACUGAAGGCCAGAACCUGGAGCUGAGAGAGAGCCUCUACACUGGGUUAACUGCGAUGAGAAGACCUGUACCAAAUGACCUUGGCCCCAUUCCAUGGGCUGGAUCCCAUGGACUCAGUGACCAGGAAGAGGAUGCUGAAUGAAUGCAGAUACUCUUCUUGCUGCAAUGGAACUGAGGGAGAUAACGUCGUCGAAGCACUCGAAGAUAAGCUGAGAUGGUCACCCAAGACGGACCAUCUUCAGAUGCACUUUCUUCAGAAAAUAGAAAUUAAGUGGUGUCUCCAUCUGAGAGACACUCUAGUGUUCAGACAGGGAGACAUUCAGCCUGUUGACGGCAAGCUAGCCACCAUGAGGUGCAGGGGUGCCUUGUGGUUUAAACGGAUGUUCAAGGCUUCUUUUUUCUUGGCUGUUCUGAUGGUGAGGUCAUCCUGGCACUUGAGUUGUUGUGGAACUCCCAAACUGAAGCACUCCCUCCUAGGGCAGGGCAGAGGGGCACAAGAAGACUCAAGGAGCUAAGAAGGUAUCAUCAACUGUGUAAGGCAGAAUCACGGUCCUCCAAAGAUGUCAAUAUGAGAAACCCAAUCAUCUGCAGGCAUCAUCUCACCCAGAAAUAAAAACUUUGCCAACAGAGGCUUGAGGUAGAAGAAACCAUCAAGAUUCAUCAGUCUAAUGACACAGGUUUUUAAAAUAGAGAACGUUUCUGAGCAGCACAGAGCUAGAAGGGGGAUGGUGUGAGAAGCUUUACCAUCGCCAACACUGAAGAUGGAGGGAGGCACCCAUAAACCCAGGGUGUAAGAAACCUCAAGACAGGGAAAGACCUGGCAAUGGAUUCUCUUUCCCAAGAGCCUCCAGACGGGGAUAUAACCUUGACAUUACAUCUUGCCUGCUGCCUUCUAGCUUACAGAGCUUAAGAGGUAGAGAGGUGGCUUAGUGUGCCUUGAAUAAACUGAAAUAUGUGUGGUGGUCUGUGAUCACAGCAGGAAGAUUAAAAAGAAAAUUUAAAGUUG
RNAcentral lists this long non-coding RNA (1271 nucleotides) under Mus musculus (house mouse). Its description in RNAcentral is "predicted gene, 40438". The record is from RNAcentral. Lineage: Eukaryota; Metazoa; Chordata; Mammalia; Rodentia; Muridae.